GACGAACGCUGGCGGCGUGCCUAACACAUGCAAGUCGAACGGAGAAUUCGUAGCAAUAUGGAUUCUUAGUGGCGGACGGGUGAGUAACGCGUGAGCAACCUACCUUUCGGAGGGGGACAACAGCUGGAAACGGCUGCUAAUACCGCAUAAUGUAUACUGGCGACAUCGUCGGUAUACCAAAGAUUUAUCGCCGAGAGAUGGGCUCGCGUCUGAUUAGCUAGUUGGUAGGGUAACGGCCUACCAAGGCUUCGAUCAGUAGCCGGACUGAGAGGUUGAACGGCCACAUUGGGACUGAGAUACGGCCCAGACUCCUACGGGAGGCAGCAGUGGGGAAUAUUGGGCAAUGGGGGAAACCCUGACCCAGCAACGCCGCGUGAAGGAAGAAGGCUUUCGGGUUGUAAACUUCUUUGACCAGGGACGAAAGAAAUGACGGUACCUGGAAAACAAGCCACGGCUAACUACGUG
This 465-nucleotide ribosomal RNA is filed under the name uncultured organism. RNAcentral describes it as "bacterial SSU rRNA". It matches the Rfam family "Bacterial small subunit ribosomal RNA", at positions 28 to 507 of the family's 1533-position model. The record is from RNAcentral.